This 202-nucleotide ribosomal RNA is filed under the name Desulfurococcales archaeon ex4484_42. RNAcentral describes it as "partial 23S ribosomal RNA". It matches the Rfam family "Archaeal large subunit ribosomal RNA", at positions 2758 to 2936 of the family's 2987-position model. Lineage: Archaea; Thermoproteati; Thermoproteota; Thermoprotei; Desulfurococcales. The record is from RNAcentral.
AGGAACGGGGCGUCGCGGCCUCUGGUCUACCGGCUGUCCGGCAGGGCACAGCCGGGCAGCUACGCCGUGGGGGGUAACCGCUGAAAGCAUCUAAGCGGGAACCCCUCCCCGAAAAGAGGCGGCCGUUCGCCGGGGGAUUACCCCGGCGACGAGGGCCCCCGUAGAAGACGGGGUUGAUGGGGCGGGGGUGUAUGCCUGCCGC